Molecule: ribosomal RNA, 145 nt
Filed under: Staphylococcus haemolyticus
Lineage: Bacteria; Bacillati; Bacillota; Bacilli; Caryophanales; Staphylococcaceae
Description: partial 23S ribosomal RNA
Rfam family: Bacterial large subunit ribosomal RNA
Source: RNAcentral
CUAAGCAUGAAGCCCCCCUCAAGAUGAGAUUUCCCAACUUCGGUUAUAAGAUCCCUCAAAGAUGAUGAGGUUAAUAGGUUCGAGGUGGAAGCGUGGUGACACGUGGAGCUGACGAAUACUAAUCGAUCGAAGACUUAAUCAAAUU